UACGAAGGGGGCUAGCGUUGCUCGGAAUCACUGGGCGUAAAGCGCACGUAGGCGGCUUUUUAAGUCAGGGGUGAAAUCCUGGAGCUCAACUCCAGAACUGCCUUUGAUACUGAGAAGCUUGAGUCCGGGAGAGGUGAGUGGAACUGCGAGUGUAGAGGUGAAAUUCGUAGAUAUUCGCAAGAACACCGGUGGCGAAGGCGGCCUUCUGGACAGUGACUGACGCUGAGACGCGAAAGCGUGGGGAGCAAACAGG
Molecule: ribosomal RNA, 253 nt
Filed under: uncultured bacterium
Lineage: Bacteria
Description: partial 16S ribosomal RNA
Rfam family: Bacterial small subunit ribosomal RNA
Source: RNAcentral